UUCUAUUUCUUGGAGACCCCUAAGAAACGGCCCACAGCACCUCCCAUUUCCAAGGCUUCUUCUUGAUUUUUUCAGAAAAGAAACGACAACAGAGAAAAGCUGCUCCCCCAUUUUCAAAAAGACAAACACAACAGGCACCACCCCUCCUUUGGUCUUCUUCAUCUUCAUCAUCUAAAAACACCAAAUUCCCUCCUUGUUUUUUUUUUUUCCAUUUUUUUGGACCAGAACGAGCUCCCCCAAAAAUUGAGGAGCCACCGCCUCCCCUCCCCUCCCUGAAAAGAACCAAAAAAUGGCGCAUUCCUCCUUCAACAGAGAACGAGAGGACAAAUGGAAAACUUUGAGAAUUUUUGGAAUUUCCUUUUGAUUCUUUCAUUUCUUUGGAUUUUUUAGAAAAAGGCAGAAACAUGUAAUAUGAUGCUUCUUUCUUUAAGAUGUUUGAUGUCCGAAAUUUUAACAAAAAAUUCCAAAAUAUUUUAAGUUUCUACUUCUUAGUUGAUUUGGGCUUCACAUAUGGAGGUUGAUUGAGUUGAGUUGCUGUUUGAAGUUGUUUCGCUUGAGUUCCAUCCAUUUCAGAUUUCGACUUUAGCUAUUGGCUCACCUUGCUCGUGUAAUUGCUGAAAAUUUCAGUCAAUCGAAGCUUUUUUUUGGUGUAAAGAAGAUGUGUUUGCUGGGUUUAUUUCUUCGGAUUUGAUGAGCUCUUCCUUUUCCUUCUCAAAUGCACAUUAUGGCAAAGAUCCAUGCAUUUUCGGGCAUGUCGGUUGCUGAUUCCUGACAAUUCAUCAGUUCGGAGAUCAUCGAGGUAGCUGCCUUGGAAUCCGCAGACCUUGACUCUCCUCUUUUAUCUUUUAGUCUUAUUUAUACUGUUCUACAUUCCUAGGCAGUGCUCCAUUGGUCAAACUAUGUUGAUAUGUAGAUGCUUAUGUACUCCGUGACACCUAGAUCUUUUGGGAGAAUUUUAUACGAAGUUUCGAUGUUUAUAUCCAAUUUUUACGAGAUUCUUAAUUA
Nicotiana tabacum (common tobacco) is the source of this 1005-nucleotide non-coding RNA. NCBI's taxonomy places the organism in Eukaryota, Viridiplantae, Streptophyta, Magnoliopsida, Solanales, Solanaceae. The record is from RefSeq and is a predicted model, not a curated record.